RNAcentral lists this ribosomal RNA (406 nucleotides) under uncultured bacterium. RNAcentral's name for it is "partial 16S ribosomal RNA". It matches the Rfam family "Bacterial small subunit ribosomal RNA", at positions 28 to 526 of the family's 1533-position model. The record is from RNAcentral.
GAUGAACGCUGACAGAAUGCUUAACACAUGCAGUCACUGCUUGUGGCGGACGGGUGAGUAACGCGUAAAGCACUUGCAUCACAGCUAGGGACAACAUUAGGAAACGAAUGCUAAUACCUAAUACUGUGAGAGAGCUUUGCGUCCCAUUAGCUAGUUGGAGAGGUCACGGCUAACCAAGGCGAUGAUGGGUAGCCGGCCUGAGAGGGUGAUCGGCCACAAGGGGACUGAGACACGGCCCUUAUUCUUACGGGAGGCAGCAGUGGGGAAUAUUGGACAAUGGACCAAAGGUUGAUCCAGCAAUUCGGGGUGAACGAUGAAGUUUUCGGAAUGUAAAGUGCUUUCAGUUGGGAAGCGGUACCAACAGAAGAAGUGACGGCUAACUACGUGCCAGCAGCCGCGGUAAUUC